UCUACGCCUAUAGCGUCUACAUGAACGC
RNAcentral lists this small RNA (28 nucleotides) under Bombyx mori (domestic silkworm). Its description in RNAcentral is "ovarian small RNA-29455". Lineage: Eukaryota; Metazoa; Arthropoda; Insecta; Lepidoptera; Bombycidae. The record is from RNAcentral.